Molecule: RNA transcript, 989 nt
Organism: Rosa chinensis
Lineage: Eukaryota; Viridiplantae; Streptophyta; Magnoliopsida; Rosales; Rosaceae
Gene name: protein ILITYHIA
Exons: 6
Source: RefSeq, a predicted model, not a curated record
GCACCUGGCCUAUUUUUCUGUUCAGUUUCACACAUCCCAGUUAACUUUAAUUUUCUUUUUCUUCUAUUUUGUUCUCGUUCUCUCUCUCUCUCUCUCUCUCUCUCUCUCUCGCUCCCACCCAUCCUCUAUCCCUUUUCUUCUCGAUCUGAAGCAAGAAGCAGAAACAACUCGAUUUUCAACCUCGGUCUUUUCCAUUCACUUUAUCGUUUCAAUCUAUCGUCUCUUUCUUCCUGAACAUGCUACGACAAGGCUGAUCCCCAUAUCAAGUCAACGUUCUUUUGCAACAAGAAGAAGAAGAGGCUGAGUUGCUCUCUAUCGAAAUUUCACAGGUCAUUCAAGUGCUCAUCCAUGAAUCUUAGGAUGUUGAAAAAUGGAAUUAGAUGCCCAACUGCAACAGUUGACACCAAAGCAGAGGAGACCAUGAUGAAGGAAAAGAUGUGGUAUGUGAUAUCUCAAAAUGAGCCAUCACUUCUUCCAAUACCCUUGGCUUCAAAAUUGCUGACUAAGGACUGCAUGGCAUGUGUUGAUCUUCUUGAAGUCAUGCUGGUGGAACAUUUGCGGAGGUUACUAUUAAUACACGUAAAGUUAUGUUUGAAAUAUAGGUGUUUAUCAUCAUGUGAUGAGUAGUUUUUACCUAAACGAAUUUAAGACUUUGCAUUUCUAUCAUUUCAGAAGUAGAAGAAAGAAGAGAGGAGCAGAAGGAGCAGACAUAUUACAUCAGUGGUGGCAGAAGUAGAAGAAAGAAAAGAGGGGCAACAGGAGCAAGCAUUAGUAGUGGGCGAAGUGGGCAAGCAAUCAUAAAUAGUCCAAUAAUCACUGUAUCUGUUUCUAGCACACUUAUGUUUUUGUCUCUGAUGCAAUGUAAGACAAUAAAUUGUCACUGAUUCAUGACUUUGUGGAACAAUGACUAAUACGAAUGUAUAUAUCUUGGUGGAUCCAAUGUAUUUUGAAGUUUAAAGUAUGGGUUAAAGUACUGCUAGUUCAUUUGA